RNAcentral lists this ribosomal RNA (466 nucleotides) under uncultured bacterium. RNAcentral describes it as "partial 16S ribosomal RNA". It matches the Rfam family "Bacterial small subunit ribosomal RNA", at positions 28 to 506 of the family's 1533-position model. The record is from RNAcentral.
GACGAACGCUGGCGGCGUGCUUAACACAUGCAAGUCGAACGGAAAGGCCUCUUUCGGGGGGUACUCGAGUGGCGAACGGGUGAGUAACACGUGAGUAACCUGCCCUUGACUUUGGGAUAACUUCAGGAAACUGGGGCUAAUACCGGAUAGGAGCUCCUGCUGCAUGGUGGGGGUUGGAAAGUUUCGGCGGUUGGGGAUGGACUCGCGGCUUAUCAGCUUGUUGGUGGGGUAGUGGCUUACCAAGGCUUUGACGGGUAGCCGGCCUGAGAGGGUGACCGGCCCCAUUGGGACUGAGAUACGGCCCAGCCCCCUACGGGGGGCAGCCGGGGGGAAUAUUGCAAAAGGGGGGGAAGCCUGAUGCAGCAACGCCGUGGGCGGGAUGACGGCCUUCGGGUUGUAAACCGCUUUCGCCAAUGACGAACCUUUGUGUGGCGGGAGUGGGUAAAGAAGCACCGGCUAACUACGU